UGGGGAAUCUUGGACAAUGGGGGCAACCCUGAUCCAGCCAUGCCGCGUGAGUGAUGAAGGCCUUAGGGUCGUAAAGCUCUUUCGCCUGUGAAGAUAAUGACGGUACCAUCAGAAGAAGUUCCGGCUAACUCCGUGCCAGCAGCCGCGGUAAUACGGAGGGAACUAGCGUUGUUCGGAAUUACUGGGCGUAAAGCGCGCGUAGGCGGCUUGGUAAGGUAGAGGGUGAAAUCCCGGAGCUCAACUCCGGAACUGCCCCCGUAAACUGCCGAGCUAGAAUCCUGGAGAGGUGAGUGGAAUUCCUAGUGUAGAGGUGAAAUUCGUAGAUAUUAGGAAGAACACCAGUGGCGAAGGCGACUCACUGGACAGGUAUUGACGCUGAGGUGCGAAAGCGUGGGGAGCGAACAGGAUUGAGAUACCCUGGUAGUCCACGCCGUAAACGAUGGGUGCUAGGUGUUGGGUAGCUUGCUAUU
RNAcentral lists this ribosomal RNA (470 nucleotides) under uncultured bacterium. RNAcentral describes it as "bacterial SSU rRNA". It matches the Rfam family "Bacterial small subunit ribosomal RNA", at positions 355 to 840 of the family's 1533-position model. The record is from RNAcentral.